AGGGUGCAAACGCUGCAGACUUGGUGUUGGAAGCCCUUUGGGGGGCGAUUCAGUGCCGGAGAGAAGUUGUUAAGUCUGCUACUUGGGGAGUACGUCCGCAAGGAUGAAACUUAAAGGAAUUGGCGGGGGAGCACCGCAACGGGAGGAGCGUGCGGUUUAAUUGGAUUCAACGCCGGGAAGCUCACCAGGGAAGACUGUUACAUGAAGGCCGAGAUGAAGACUCUGCUAGAUUUUCAGAGAGGUGGUGCAUGGCGUCAGUGACU
This 263-nucleotide ribosomal RNA is filed under the name uncultured archaeon. RNAcentral's name for it is "partial 16S ribosomal RNA". It matches the Rfam family "Archaeal small subunit ribosomal RNA", at positions 748 to 1008 of the family's 1478-position model. The record is from RNAcentral.